UCGGGUGUGGUGCACGGUGCACAACUGUGUUACUUCGACGGUUUCCACAGAUUAGAGGCAGAGAGCCGGGGUUCGACUCCCCGCACCCGAA
Molecule: non-coding RNA, 91 nt
Organism: Mycena leptocephala
Lineage: Eukaryota; Fungi; Basidiomycota; Agaricomycetes; Agaricales; Mycenaceae
Source: the annotation of a GenBank genome assembly